Molecule: long non-coding RNA, 8947 nt
Filed under: Homo sapiens (human)
Lineage: Eukaryota; Metazoa; Chordata; Mammalia; Primates; Hominidae
Description: HSALNT0063710
Source: RNAcentral
UGCAUUUUCAAAAUUAUUUAGUUUAUUUUUUAUUUAUGUGCUAUUUGGAAGUGAGUACUUAAAUCUGUGAGAUUUUGGGCUUAUUCAACUAUAUUUUAGUUAAUAAUUUCUAGUUUAAUUAUAUUCUGGUCAGAAAGCAUAUUUUAUAUGAUUUCUACACUUUAAAUUUGUUAAGGUGUAUUUUAUAGCAGAAGCUUGGAUCUGACCUCUCAUUUCUUAUAACAUUAUUUUUAUUUCCCUUAUUCAUAAGCUAUAACCAUCUCUUAGAUAAAUUAAUAUUAGGAAUAAUAAAAUACUUUAUUUUUAUUUAUGUAUUCACUUAUCCUCUUUCUUUCUUUAUGUAGAUCCACGUUUCCAACCAUAUUACUUUUCUUCUUUCUGAAUAAUUUCUUUCAAUAUUUCUCAUAAGGCAGGUCUACUCACAGUGUUCUCUCAAUAUUUGUUUGUGAAAGUAUUUAUUUAUCUUCAGAUUUGAAGAAUGAUUUUGCUGAACAGAGCACUCUAAAUUGAUGAAAUUUUCCUUUCACUACUUCAAAUGUUUGUCUACCCUUUUCUUGCUUACAUUAUUUCUGAAAAUAAAAGUCCUAAAAUUCUUAUUUUUACACCUCUGUUGGUAAGGUGUUUAUUUUUUUCUUCCUCUGGCUUCUUUCAAGAUUAUCCCAUUGUCUUUGAUCUCCUGUAGUUUGAAUAUAAUAUGUCUGGAUAUGGUUGUGUCAAUAUUUUGUCAGCUUUUUGUUUUCUCAGCUUCCUGGAUCUGUAGUUUGAUGUCUAUCAUUCAAUUUGGGAAGUUUGCAGUCACUAUUGCUUUAAGUAUGUCUAUGUUACAUUCUCUUUUUUUUCUUCUUUCCAUAUUCCUAUUAAAAAUAUAUUGUGCUUUUAUGAUUAUUUCACAGUUAUUUGAUAUUCUGUUCUUCCUUUUUAAUUUUUUUCUUUGAAUUUCAGUUUUGGAAUUCUUUAUUGGCAUUUCUCGGUUCUUCAAAUUCAUGGAUUGUUUUCUCAUUUGUGCCUUUAGUGUAGCAAUGAGGUUUGAAGGGAGGGGAGAUGUUCAAAUUCCCAUGAUUAGGUCUGAGUGUUUUAGUGAGCAUGGUCUCAUGGGCUGUGACCUUCUUAAAUGGUGCUCAGUUUUUUUUUUUGUUGUUGUUGUUGUUUUGUUUUGUUUUCCUUAUAUAUGACAAGGAGCAUAGAGGGAGCUGGAGUCAGGGAUUUUUCUUCCCCAGGAUGGUUAGGCUCUAGCAGAACCCCAGUUGGUUAGGCUCUAGUAAAUCACCUUCUUUUGAAGUCAGGUGCUGAUAAAAGAAACAGAAUGCUCUGGGCAUAUUUCAAAAUGGCUCCCCAUAAUGACAGCAAGAAGGAAUUUUACUCUGAUCUUCAUUGUAAGGAUCUGGUAGGGUUCCUACAGAUAAACUUCAAAGACAUAUGAAACCCUCCUAAAAUUGGGCACCCCUGGCAUUUUUAACUCUUAAACUUAUCCACAUUGAGCUUUGAACAAUUUUUCAAUUGCAAUUUCUCUUUUCCAACUCUGGUACUGGUUUCCACAGGGAUCUCUGUUCCUGGGCUUCUGCUUCAGUAUGCUGUGAUUAUCUGCAUCUGCCUCUCUGCCUUUCCAAUUUCCAUCGCAGUAGUUUUCUGUUACCUGACCUCUUUGAUGAAUCUCAGAGAGUUGCUGAUUUUAUUCAGUUUAUUGAGUUUUUUGGUGUUAUUAUGACUUCCAAGCUGUUUACAUACUGCGUUAGAAAUCAAGUGUCACUUCUUUUGUUUUUAUUGCUGAAUAAUAUUCCAGUGUAUGUAUCUUAGAUUCCAGUGUACAUAUAUUAAAUCCUGGAAGACUUCCAAGUCUUAAAAAUUGAUGAUUUUUUAUUAUAUAACAUUCUCAGUUUGCCUUGGAGAUAUAUUUGAAAUCAAGCAUCAUUAUUUCUUGCUUGACAUAUCAGAGUGAAUUAGCUGUAAGGUCUGAUAAAUUUUUCAUCACCCUCACCUUCAGAUUAAAAAUUCUGAAAUGAUUGGUCAAUACCACAUUACAGAGUGGAAAAAUAUGGAAUUUAGUUUUGGGGGAUUCUGUAAUGGAAGAUGGAAUGUAUAUCUCAUCACAGCUCAUCUUGUAAGGAAAUUCUCAAAUGAAACGAAGGGUUUGAGAUGGUGGUCCAUCCAAAAUAAUAAUAAAAUUUAAUUGACCAGUAUCUAUAUACUUUGUCUCCAAAUACUUUUAUUUACAAAGAUUAAACUUAACUUCAGAUAAGAAGAUGAUGUAAUUUUACCACAGAAACCCGAAAAUGCAUUCCCAUGUCUCCUUUGGAGACAACUCAAGGCUUCAUGGGUUACUGAAGAUUCAAAGUAAGAUGUGUCACUAACUAAUGUCCUCUUUUCGUAUAGGUGUGUUAAAAUCCUGUCUUAUAUUCUGCUACUCAUGAGGUAUAUUUUUAAAUCUACUCUUAACAAUAGUACUAUAAUUGAUGAAUUAAAGGGAGCAGAAAGAAGAAGCAAGAUUUAAAAAAUAUAUAUGUGUUGAUGAUGCUCUAUUUUGUGGAGAGAUGGGUACACUGUAGCAUAGAGAAUGCUGUGGUUCACAUAUUGGUUUUUAAUUUUUUUAAUUAUUCAUUUUUCUUGUCAUAUAGGAAGGCUAUUUUCUCAAGCUCCUUUGUGACAUUAUAUGGACCCUGGGUUUAUAUUCUGGCCAAAAGGAUGUAGUAGGAACUUUUAAAUAUCUCUUGUAGGCCUGUCUACAAAAUUCUCAAACAAUAAGUCUUACUUUAUUUUUCCUAUCUGCAGCAAGUUUGGGUGUCACAUGCUUAAGAUUACAGUGACACAAAGAUUGAAUAAUGAUGGAUCUCUGAGAUGUUGCUUGACAGACAGCCUCCAUGAAGAGUCAAGCAAACUGUUUCGAACUAUGACAUAAGCAAAAAAAACCAAAAAAAUAUGGUAAGUCAAAAGAUAUUUCAGUUUUAUUUGUCACGGAAGAAGAGCCUGGCCUACUCUGACUAAUGCCUAUACCAUGAUACUGCACAAAGCAAUCAGUAAGUGAAAAAAUAGUAGCCUAAACAAAAUAUGACAGGCAGGGAAAGAAAACAUAAAUAUUCAAUUAUUUCGGUAAGGAAAUUUUAUGGUACUCUCCAUAAUGGAAAUGAGAAAUGAUCUAUUCUCACCACCACAUUGCCUUCUUGGGUUAUAGUGCAUAAUGGAGGACACAUAAUUUAGCAUAUUUGAUUAAAAUUUGGCCACUCAGGAUGGGCAAUAGCAUGAUAGAGGGAUCAAGGAUACAUAACCUUCAUCUUUUCUUUCAUGAACUUUUUGCUCAUAUGCCCAUUAAGUAAGUGCAAAGGUGGCAGGGAAAAGGCUGAUUUCCACAGAGUAGGCAAUCUUGCUGUUAUUAUAUAUUAUCUCCCCCUGUAAAGUUUUUAGAAAUUAUUCAUUUAUGGAAGGAGUUAGUAGUCUCCUCAUUUGAGCUGCAUGCUUCUGAGCAUGCCUACAUUUAUGCCUAGAUGAAUCUAACACCAAAACACAAAAUAGUACGGAGUUGCUCAAGUAACAUAGUCACUUGGCAUCUGAUGGACAGGUACUUAGUUUUCACCUGGGUCUGUUUGCAGAUCAGCAGCUAUUUCUCAAAAGGAGUAUAUUUACUUCCUGGAGCAAGAAUGACUGUGCUCCAAAACCACAUGGCCUCUCUGCUGUGAUUGUGAUUCUCUUGUUGGGUUUUGCAACAUUGCCACAAGAUCAAUAAAGUAUCUUGAUCGCUCACAGACACUCUUCACAUUUACUAUUCUGCCUUCAGUUCUUUCCAACUCCUGAAAUCUGUCCAUUGUGCCUUUGGGAUUCCCUGUUCAUUAUUAGUAAAACUCUUUAGAUUCUCAAUAGAUUCUUCAAACACUUAUUUUACUUUCUUCCUCCAAUGGAAACUUCGCUCUCUCUAAGUACACUGUUUACCCUGUAGCAUUCCAAAUUGUUUUUCUUGUAAACACACACAUACACAUACACAUGCAUACACAUGCAUGCACACACACAUACACAAGUUUGGAAGAAAAUGGGGGGAAUGAACACACUGAUAGUUCCUCUUGCCAAUUUUAGGCAUUUCCUCCUCUCUUCCUAACAAUUACCAAAAUUGAUUUGUGUAGUAUCAAAUGCCCACUGACCCUCAUUGUUGCAAUUAUAUCCCAAGCCCCAGGUCAUCUCCCUGCAUUUCUUUACAAUAUUACCUUCUAGUCAGAGUUAAUCUUGCCAGACACACUUUCUCUUAAUUCCUCUACUCAUUUUGUCCUCUGUUCUACCUUAAACAUCAACUUCACCUCACUCUUGGAUACUGCUUCCUAUCUUCCCAGACCACUCCCCUUAAUGCCUCAACUUUGAUACUCUUUGGCUACCCUAAGACAUCCAAUCCAUUAAUUCCACCACAUUUUUACUGUCUCUCAAGUGUCUGAAUUGUUUAACUUCUCUCAUUAACUAUGUAAAUUUUAGCGGUUAAUAUUUAGUCAUUCCUUCAAUGUAGCCUUCAGCAUUGGACAUGUCUUUUGUUCUUCCUAUUCUCAACAAAAUUACAACUUUACAGAAUCUUUGCUGCCUAUUUUAUAUCUGUGAUUGUGCGACUAAAUUUGGAGAAUAAUAUCUAAGAAUAAUAAAGAAGUCUUAUUUUAAAUUGGUAGUCAUAAACAUUACGUUGAUCCUUAAUGCUGAAAAACGGAAAAGCAAUAAUUAUUCUUCCAUUUUUCUUGAUGUUAGUUUUUCUCUUUUCUCAAUUAUUCAUCCCCCUACACAGAAAGAAACUGGAUUUACACUCUCACCUGAAACAAUCCCCACCUACGAAAAAUAGCAGACAAAAUAUAUGGUGGAAUAAAAGUUUUGAAGUCACUGUACAUGAGGUUAAAAAAACAGCAACCUUGGGAGACAGGCAGCAAAUAUGUUUUUUGUUUAUUUACCCAGUUUACAGCAUUUACUUUUUGGGCUGAGGCACAGAAAGAGAAACCUAGAUAGCGCCUGAUUGAUUGACUUUUUUUCUCCAUAAUAGGUAUUAUUUUCUUCCCUUUUUAAAUUACAUGCCUGAUAAUUUUUAUAAAAUACCAGACAUUGAGAUUUUACUUUCUUGUCUGUGAAACUUUUAAAUUACUUGGAAACAUUUUAUCCUUUGGGUAUUAACUUUAAGAAUUACUGGGUUAGAUCAGAGCAGUCUUUAGUCUAGGGCUAAUUAUCUUCCAUUACACAAGCAAAUUCCUUGAACUGAGGAGGUUGAGGUCAGUGUCUAGGGAGACAAGGGUAGAGAAGACAGCUGCACAGAGAACUCCUGAGAUCUGUAGAGUAUCCCCUUUUAUAACUCAGGAGAAUAUUGAUUGGAGAUUAGGUAGGAAACUACCUAAGGCUAGAAAAGAAGCAUUUGAAAGUAUCAGAGGAAACUUGGCCCAAUACUUAAACAAGGCUGGGAAUAGUGAGUUUCUAUUGGCCAGUUGGAAAACCACAUAAUUUGCAGGGCAUUGGAGAGAAUACAGAGAAGAAUUUUGCUUGUGUAAUGGAAGAUAAUUAGCCCUAGACUAAAGACUGCUCUGAUCUAACCCAGUAAUUCUUAAAGUUAAUACCCAAAGGAUAAAAUGUUUCCAAGUAAUUUAAAAGUUUCACAGACAAGAAAGUAAAAUCUCAAUGUCUGGUAUUUUAUAAAAAUUAUCAGGCAUGUAAUUUAAAAAGGGAAGAAAAUAAUACCUAUUAUGGAGAAAAAAAGUCAAUCAAUCAAAAUUGGCUCACACUACUCAGAUAUUAGAAAUAAUAGACAUGAGCAUAUUAGAAAGUUAUAACUGAAGUUCACAUGUUUAAAAAGUUAGAAAUAGUUAUCUAAGAUAUAAACAUGACCUAAGUCAAACUUCCAAAGAUGAAAUCAAUAUUGUCUGAGAUGAAAAAAAAUACACUGAAUGGGAUUAGAGGUAGAUUCAAUAUUGCAGAUAAGAAGAGUAGUAAAUUUGAAGCUACAACCACAGGACCUAUCUAAAAUGAAACACACCAAUAAAAAUCAUUAGAACAAGUGAAAAGUUAGUUCAUCACUGAGCUGUUGGACAACUUUAAUUGGCCUAAUAUAUGUGUAAUUUGAGUCCCUUAGAUAUAUGAAAGAAAGGCUGUUACAAAAAAUAUUUGAAGAAAUAAUGACUAAAAUAUUUCCAAAAUUGUCAAAAAAUAUAUAUCUAAAAACCCAAAAAGUUAAACAAGCCCAAGCACAAGAAACACAUAUAAAACUAUACCAAGAUAAGUAAUAAUUAAAUUUUUUUUAAAACAAUGAUAAAGACAAAAUUGACAUAUGGGGUCUAAUUAAACUUAAGAGCACCUGCACAGUAAAAUAGACUAUCAACAGAGUAAAUAGACAACCUACAGAAUGGGAGAAAAAUUUUGCAAACUAUGCAUCUGACAAAGGUUUAAUACCCAGCAUCUAUAAGAAACUUAAACAAAUUUACAAGAGAACAAACAACCUCAUUAAAAAGUACAAAAGAUAUGAAUAGACAUUUUUCAAAAGAAAAUAUACAUGCAGCCAACAAGAAUUUGAAAAAAAGCUCAACAUCACUGAUCAUUAGAGAAAUGUAAAUCAAAACCACAAUAAGAUAGUACCUCACACUAGUCAGAAUGGUUAUUAAGGUCAAAAAUAACAGAUGCUGAUGAGUUGUGGAGAAAAAUGAAUGCUUAUACACUGUUAGUGGGAGUGUAAAGUAGUUCAACCAUUGUGGAAAGCAGUAUGGUGAUUCCUCAAAGAGCUAACAGCAGAACUUCCAUUUGACCCAGCAAUCCCAUAACUGGUAUAUACUCAGAGAAAUAAAAAUCAUUCUACCAUAAAGUCACAUGCAUGUGAAUGUUCAUUGCAGCACUAUUCACAGCAGCAAACACAGGAAAUCAACACAAAUGCCCAUCAAUGACAAAUUGGGUAAAGAAAAUAUGGUAUAUAUACGUCAUGGACUACUAUGCAGUCAUAAAAAAGAAAAAAAGAUCAUGUCUUUUGCAGAAACAUGAAUAAAGGUGGGGACUAUUAGUUUUAGCAAACUAACACAGAAACAGAAAACUAAAUACCACAUGUUCUCAUUUAUAAGUGCAAGCUAAAUGAUGAGAACUCAUGAACACAAAGAAGGGAACAACAGACAUUUGGGUCUACUUGAGGGUGAAGGAUGGGAGGAGGGAGAGAAACAGCAAAAAAUAACUGUUGAGUACUAGGCUUAAUACCUGGCUGAUCUAAUAAUCUAUACAACAAAACCCUAUGACACUAGUUUACCUCAUAACAAACCUGCACAUGUACCCCUGAACCUAAAAUAAAAGUUAUAAAAAUAAAUAAAUAUAAUAUAUAUAUAAAAUUCUAAAAUAAAUAAGAGGCGAAAAAAACUUACUUUGUGCAAAGGAAAAAAUAAAAGUAAUAGCAGAUUUCUCAUCAGAAAAAUGCAAUAUAGAAAAAUGUAUUGCAACAUUUUCAAGUUACACAAAUAUAAAAAUAAACAAACAAACAUCUAAUUUGAUAUUCAGCAGAAAUAAGUUUCAAAAUUAGAGGGUAAAUUUCUAGUUCCAGGAUGUAAUGUUGUAGAUUCAAUUUUCCUUGCUACUCUUCUCUAAAUAAAACUAAAAUCCUUGGAAAUAAUUCAACAGCCGGCUAUUACAUGGUUCUGAAAUUUGGAAAGAAAGUGGACUGUCUAGGACAUCAGAGUUUGAAGAAAGAUGCCAGAAUGGAUUGCUUGUGUUUUUGUCUUAUCGAUCCCCAACUGUGGGUGAAGAUGCUUGUAACCCAGAACCACAAUUGAGAUGCAAUACUUGUUCUCAAUAAGACCUCAACAUAAAAGCCAAAACAUGGCCACCUGCAGAGGCAAGAUGUACCUCUGACUUCAUAUCUGGUUUAGAUGCCACACAUGUAUCAAGAGGAUAUGAGAAGGUUUAUCACUCACAUAAUGAGACUUUUUAGGAACCCAGGACAACUAACAAGCAGCCUAGCACCCCAGAUCGGUGAGGGAGAUGGAAGUUCCAUUGAAUGCCUGCUCAAGAGUCAAGUGCUGUGUGUUGUGAGAAUUGAUAUGAAUGCCUCGUUCACUAUCCCUGAUAUCCGGAGCUCUAAAAAGGAUAAGGGAUUCUAAAUGCAAAUGAAGGAGUCACUCAUCAAAGGCUUCUAUGGCUAAACUUCAUGACUAUAUACUAAACAGGAAUCUAACCAAGAAACUCACAGCUGCUCUUGAGAAGAUGCCCUGCUAAACCACUAAGACAAAAAUCACUUUUUAUGACCUCACCCAGUAUUUGAUAGAAAGAGAUUAGCAGCUUGCCUGUAAUCUACUCUCUUCAUUUACUGGGAGAUUCUCUGCAAAGAGAAGUGACCCAAUCAAAUUUCCUUGCCAAAUACAUUGUUGGUAUGUUGUGGUGGACGUAUCUGCAUAUAGAAUGCUUUAGCAAGAUAACCCUGGUCUCUUGAGAAUUGCUUAUGGUGAAGAAACCCGAAAUCCAUCGAUUCAUGGAGUAUGACUUUAUAAGAAAUAUCAUGUAACCUGUAACUGUUACAGUAUACAACGAAGUUUUGUGAAUAAACAGCUUACUUAUGUGCAAGUAAUGGCUGCAUACAUUUCUUACAGUCAUUGAUUGUUAAAUCUUGACCAGAAUCUGUCCUAAUGUGAGAAGAAAGGACCUAGAAAGCUUCUGGGUAAAUGAUUACAUAUAUAUACAUAAUCUUAUUCAAUUUCAUGUGCACUUGAGUUUAUUGGUAAAGUUUAAUAUAAAAUAAAUUUUCUAAUUUGUGUGAGUCUCAUUUGACAAUCCAACCAUGUGUCUUUGUUCAGGGUGUUCCCAAACAAAUUGUCUUUCAGAACUUUGAAGUACAAUGUCUAAUAAAGAAGAGGGAAUUAAAAAUAUGAUGAGAAUUUGAUGUCCUUUGUGUUAUCUCAGUUAUAUCCCUGUGACUUUGUACAAUUUAUAUAGCUGCUCACACACUAAACUCUCUGUUUCAUUAUUGGCCUCUUGGAAUAAAUUUUAC